GAUGAACGCUAGCGAUAGGCCUAACACAUGCAAGUCGAGGGGCAUCACAUGAAGUAGCAAUACGGAUGGUGGCGACCGGCGCACGGGUGAGUAACACGUAUGCAACCUGCCUUCAACAAGGGGAUAACCCGUUGAAAGACGGACUAAUACCCUAUAACACAGGGGUCCCGCAUGGGAAUAUUUGUUAAAGGACAACCGGUUGAAGAUGGGCAUGCGUUCCAUUAGCUAGUUGGCGGGGUAAGGGCCCACCAAGGCAACGAUGGAUAGGGGAACUGAGAGGUUUAUCCCCCACACUGGUACUGAGACACGGACCAGACUCCUACGGGAGGCAGCAGUGAGGAAUAUUGGUCAAUGGACGCAAGUCUGAACCAGCCACGUCGCGUGAAGGAAGACGGCCCUACGGGUUGUAAACUUCUUUUGCAAGGGAAUAAAGUGGGCCACGUGUGGCCUUUUGCAAGUACCUUGCGAAUAAGGAUCGGCUAACUCCGUG
Molecule: ribosomal RNA, 490 nt
Filed under: uncultured bacterium
Lineage: Bacteria
Description: bacterial SSU rRNA
Rfam family: Bacterial small subunit ribosomal RNA
Source: RNAcentral